This 199-nucleotide ribosomal RNA is filed under the name uncultured bacterium. Its description in RNAcentral is "partial 16S ribosomal RNA". It matches the Rfam family "Bacterial small subunit ribosomal RNA", at positions 328 to 539 of the family's 1533-position model. The record is from RNAcentral.
ACGCUCGACACCUACGGGAGGCAGCAGUGGGGAAUAUUGGGCAAUGGGCGCAAGCCUGACCCAGCAACGCCGCGUGAAGGAAGAAGGCUUUCGGGUUGUAAACUUCUUUUGUCAGGGAACAGUAGAAGAGGGUACCUGACGAAUAAGCCACGGCUAACUACGUGCCACAGCCGCGGUAAUCUGAGCGGGCUGGCAAGGC